AGUUUGAUCCUGGCUCAGGAUGAACGCUAGCUACAGGCUUAACACAUGCAAGUCGAGGGGCAGCAUGGUCUUAGCUUGNUAAGGCCGAUGGCGACCGGCGCACGGGUGAGUAACACGUAUCCAACCUGCCGUCUACUCUUGGACAGCCUUCUGAAAGGAAGAUUAAUACAAGAUGGCAUCAUGAGUUCGCAUGUUCACAUGAUUAAAGGUAUUCCGGUAGACGAUGGGGAUGCGUUCCAUUAGAUAGUAGGCGGGGUAACGGCCCACCUAGUCUUCGAUGGAUAGGGGUUCUGAGAGGAAGGUCCCCCACAUUGGAACUGAGACACGGUCCAAACUCCUACGGGAGGCAGCAGUGAGGAAUAUUGGUCAAUGGGCGCAGGCCUGAACCAGCCAAGUAGCGUGAAGGAUGACUGCCCUAUGGGUUGUAAACUUCUUUUAUAAAGGAAUAAAGUCGGGUAUGUAUACCCGUCUGCAUGUACUUUAUGAAUAAGGAUCGGCUAACUCCGUGCCAGCAGCCGCGGUAAUACGGAGGAUCCGAGCGUUAUCCGGAUUUAUUGGGUUUAAAGGGAGCGUAGAUGGAUGUUUAAGUCAGUUGUGAAAGUUUGCGGCUCAACCGUAAAAUUGCAGUUGAUACUGGAUAUCUUGAGUGCAGUUGAGGCAGGCGGAAUUCGUGGUGUAGCGGUGAAAUGCUUAGAUAUCACGAAGAACUCCGAUUGCGAAGGCAGCCUGCUAAGCUGCAACUGACAUUGAGGCUCGAAAGUGUGGGUAUCAAACAGGAUUAGAUACCCUGGUAGUCCACACGGUAAACGAUGAAUACUCGCUGUUUGCGAUAUACAGCAAGCGGCCAAGCGAAAGCGUUAAGUAUUCCACCUGGGGAGUACGCCGGCAACGGUGAAACUCAAAGGAAUUGACGGGGGCCCGCACAAGCGGAGGAACAUGUGGUUUAAUUCGAUGAUACGCGAGGAACCUUACCCGGGCUUAAAUUGCAGAUGAAUUACGGUGAAAGCCGUAAGCCGCAAGGCAUCUGUGAAGGUGCUGCAUGGUUGUCGUCAGCUCGUGCCGUGAGGUGUCGGCUUAAGUGCCAUAACGAGCGCAACCCUUGUUGCCAGUUACUAACAGGUUCCGCUGAGGACUCUGACAAGACUGCCAUCGUAAG
This 1156-nucleotide ribosomal RNA is filed under the name uncultured Bacteroides sp. RNAcentral describes it as "bacterial SSU rRNA". It matches the Rfam family "Bacterial small subunit ribosomal RNA", at positions 10 to 1162 of the family's 1533-position model. The record is from RNAcentral. Lineage: Bacteria; Pseudomonadati; Bacteroidota; Bacteroidia; Bacteroidales; Bacteroidaceae.